This 301-nucleotide ribosomal RNA is filed under the name uncultured bacterium. Its description in RNAcentral is "partial 16S ribosomal RNA". It matches the Rfam family "Bacterial small subunit ribosomal RNA", at positions 509 to 808 of the family's 1533-position model. The record is from RNAcentral.
CAGCACCACGGUAAUACGGAGGGGGCUAGCGUUGUUCGGAAUUACUGGGCGUAAAGCGCACGUAGGCGGCUUUGUAAGUUAGAGGUGAAAGCCUGGGGCUCAACUCCAGAAUUGCCUUUAAGACUGCAUCGCUUGAACGUCGGAGAGGUGAGUGGAAUUCCGAGUGUAGAGGUGAAAUUCGUAGAUAUUCGGAAGAACACCAGUGGCGAAGGCGGCUCACUGGACGACUGUUGACGCUGAGGUGCGAAAGCGUGGGGAGCAAACAGGAUUAGAUACCCCGGUAGUCCCUGUCUCUUAUACA